This 492-nucleotide ribosomal RNA is filed under the name uncultured bacterium. Its description in RNAcentral is "partial 16S ribosomal RNA". It matches the Rfam family "Bacterial small subunit ribosomal RNA", at positions 29 to 507 of the family's 1533-position model. The record is from RNAcentral.
AGUGAACGCUGGCGGUAGGCCUAACACAUGCAAGUCGAACGGCAGCACAGUAAGAGCUUGCUCUUACGGGUGGCGAGUGGCGGACGGGUGAGGAAUACAUCGGAAUCUACUUUUUCGUGGGGGAUAACGUAGGGAAACUUAUGCUAAUACCGCAUACGACCUACGGGUGAAAGCAGGGGAUCUUCGGACCUUGCGCGAUUGAAUGAGCCGAUGUCGGAUUAGCUAGUUGGCGGGGUAAAGGCCCACCAAGGCGACGAUCCGUAGCUGGUCUGAGAGGAUGAUCAGCCACACUGGAACUGAGACACGGUCCAGACUCCUACGGGAGGCAGCAGUGGGGAAUAUUGGACAAUGGGCGCAAGCCUGAUCCAGCCAUACCGCGUGGGUGAAGAAGGCCUUCGGGUUGUAAAGCCCUUUUGUUGGGAAAGAAAAGCAGCAGGUUAAUACCCCGCUGUUCUGACGGUACCAAAAGAAUAAGCACCGGCUAACUUCGUG